AAUUUGUAUAGAUAGAAUUUGGGGGGUUCGAAUAUAAAACCAACUGAUGCAUUUCACCAAUUGGGCUUUGGAGCAAGACAACCCGUUUGCUUGGCCCAUCUCUUCAUACGUGACAAGCUUCAAGAACUCUCAAGCAAUCAUGUAUCGUAUAACCCUAGCCGCACAUACUCUCCUUUCCCAACUGAAAUCACGCGAUUGACCAAAAUUCCGUGAAAGUCGUCGCCUAAUCAGGCAAUUCAUCUCCAUCAUCUCUUCAAAUCCUAUCCGUUCAUUAUGGCUUCUUCAUCUGUGGUCAGAAACAAGUCAAAAAUUCCAUGUUGGUUCAAAGCUGAAGUACACCCUGAUAAGGAGGAAAUUUAUAUGUGUCCUGUUUUUGCUAAAAAGUAUGCAUCCAAUAUUAACUUCA
Trifolium pratense (red clover) is the source of this 406-nucleotide long non-coding RNA. RefSeq lists it as uncharacterized. Lineage: Eukaryota; Viridiplantae; Streptophyta; Magnoliopsida; Fabales; Fabaceae. The transcript is spliced from 3 exons. The record is from RefSeq and is a predicted model, not a curated record.